RNAcentral lists this ribosomal RNA (406 nucleotides) under uncultured bacterium. Its description in RNAcentral is "partial 16S ribosomal RNA". It matches the Rfam family "Bacterial small subunit ribosomal RNA", at positions 29 to 526 of the family's 1533-position model. The record is from RNAcentral.
AUUGAACGCUGGCGGCAGGCCUAACACAUGCAAGUCGAGCGAGCGGCGGACGGGUGAGUAAUGUCUGGGAAACUGCCUGAUGGAGGGGGAUAACUACUGGAAACGGUAGCUAAUAUCGCAUACCAUCAGAUGUGCCCAGAUGGGAUUAGCGAGUAGGUGGGGUAAAGGCUCACCUAGGCGACGAGCCCUAGCUGGUCUGAGAGGAUGACCAGCCACCCUGGAACGUAGACACGGUCCCGCCUCCUACGGGAGGCAGCAGUGGGGAAUAGUGCCCAAUGGGCGCAAGCCUGAUGCAGCCAUGCCGCGGGUGUGAAGAGGGCCUUCGGGUUGUAAAGCUCUUUCAGCGGGGAGGCGUUACCCGCAGAAGAAGCACCGGCUAACUCCGUGCCAGCCGCCGCGGUAAUAC